GGGUCCAUAGGUCAGUUGGUAGAGCAUUUGACUGCAGAUCAAGAGGUCACCAGUUUGAAUCCGGUUGGGCCCU
RNAcentral lists this transfer RNA (73 nucleotides) under Thalictrum thalictroides. It matches the Rfam family "tRNA". Rfam says of the family: Transfer RNA (tRNA) molecules are approximately 80 nucleotides in length. Lineage: Eukaryota; Viridiplantae; Streptophyta; Magnoliopsida; Ranunculales; Ranunculaceae. The record is from Rfam by way of RNAcentral.